AAUGUUUGGCCUUUCAAAACUCUGCCACGCUAAAAUACAGUUUAAAGGCUUGCAAUACUCCUAAAAAAAAAACGCAGGAUACAAAGGGGAAACUGUGUUUAGAAGCCGUCAAUCGCUAGACUAGAGCACCACAACUACAAGCACAUGCAUAGUGAAAGAAAAAUUUAUGGGCUUCAACAUCGUUAGGCUAUCUAUCUGCCACCAUCAGAUCAUCGAACUGGCUCCGAUUUGUUGAGAUCUUUGUCAAUUACAACACUUGGGUAAUUUCCAAGAAGAGUUGCUGGAACAAACUGAUAGAUUUUUUGCUAGUCAUUUUGUGAUAGAGCUGCACAAUCAACACUGCUGGAAAGGAAGAUUUUUUAGCUAGAUCUAUUUUGUGACAGAGCUACACAAUCAACAUUGCUAGAAAAGAAAAAAAGAAAAAGAAAAAAAAGAAGAACCUUCCAUGCUUCUUCUUCCACUCCUCCUCCUGUGUUCAAUUACCGAUCCCUCAACUUCUCCUCUGCAGUUCAAUCUCUCCGCUGCUCCGUCUCCAUGGAAGGCUAAGGGCAAAUUAUAAAUACAAAAUGGAAAAGCAUACAGCCAUAAAGACAAGAGUACUUUUACAAGCACCUAUGGGAGCCAAUCAUAUCUGCAUCUUGGCGCAAGUUUAUUGAACUUGAGAACAUGCGUGUCUUAACCCAAUUCCUCGAAGUUGACACAUUGAGUUGCAAGAUUCAUCCAUAAUCUAUUAUCUUAGAAGCUUUAUAUCAGCCGUGCAGUUACUAUCCAUUUUCCUGGCCCAUGAUUCAUAGGCAAAAUUGGUUGAGAUGCAAGCAAAGUUGUCUAGAAGAGAGAAAGCAGCCAAUAUUAUGCCUUAUCUAGAUAUUGAUAUCUUCAUGAAGGUAUUGGGAUUUGAAGUGUACACUGUUACCGUGGUUGGAGAUCAAAUGUUAUAGGGGUAUCUCAACCUCAGAAGGACAAAGAAAGUGUGUUAUAGCAGCCAACAGUACAAGAGACUUUGAUCUUUUUGAUGAUAUUAUUCUCCCCUCUGAUGGCCAAAUUGUGAACCAAGGUCCCUGCAAACUCGAGCUUGAUUUUUUGAAUCCAUGGGCUUUAAAUGUCUUGCAAGGAAAAGUGUGGCUAACUUCUUUCAAGAAGCAGGUGUAGAUAUAGGUUUUUCUGUUUAAUAUGUUCCAAUAGAGAUGCUUGAUCUCUGAAAGGAAUGCAGUGAUUCUUAAGUCAAUGACUCAAUUGAAUAAAUUGAGGGAAUUGGGUAUGCGCCUCUUUUUGAGAAAGUAGAGAGUUCAUUUCUUGGUGGUUUUCGUUAUUGUAAUGUAUUUUCACUAUUUUGUAUGGAACAAAUGAUUCUUGUGGAUGUUAAAUUUGCAUUUGGGUUUGAGGAUUUAAAAUAAGGGUUUUAAGAAUAGUUGUUUGAAAAAUUGUUAGGUGAUUUUGU
Molecule: RNA transcript, 1438 nt
Organism: Quercus robur (English oak)
Lineage: Eukaryota; Viridiplantae; Streptophyta; Magnoliopsida; Fagales; Fagaceae
Gene name: pleiotropic drug resistance protein 1-like
Exons: 10
Source: RefSeq, a predicted model, not a curated record